GCCCUCGUAGAUCAGUGGUAGAUCUCCGUCAUCCAUUGAAUAUGUCAUGAUUGUCUCUGCAGGCCCCGCGGGUUCGACUCCCGUCAAGGGCA
Non-coding RNA from Mycena polygramma, 92 nucleotides. Lineage: Eukaryota; Fungi; Basidiomycota; Agaricomycetes; Agaricales; Mycenaceae. The record is from the annotation of a GenBank genome assembly.